This 2151-nucleotide ribosomal RNA is filed under the name Triticum aestivum (bread wheat). RNAcentral describes it as "partial small subunit ribosomal RNA". Lineage: Eukaryota; Viridiplantae; Streptophyta; Magnoliopsida; Poales; Poaceae. The record is from RNAcentral.
AUGGCGAAAGGAUUCUUCCUUUACCUUCUGUUGGUACGUUCACUUUUCCGGACUUCAAGCUUCAUAUGUUGCAUUCCGUUCGUCCAUGUAAUGACUGCCACAAAUACUAUGAAGUUCAUCAUGAAAAUCCCAAAGUUUGUAUUCUCUAGCUUGAGGAGCUUUGUUGACAUGCCAACUAGUGCUAGAAUCUCUCUGGAAGCUUUCCUGGGUGGUAUGCAUGUUAUCAUGCCAUCAUCUUUCAAGCUGUGCAAGCAACAUAGGAGGAUGGUGAUUGAGAAGACCAGUUUCAGCGAGUUCAUCUCAGCUACUGAGUAUCAAAAAUACAAUGUUGUGCUCAUCACUUUUAAUGAGUCAACUUAUGAUAGUUCAGUUUCAAUCAUGUUCCAACGGCUUCUAUGCAACGUUGGUGGCGGAGACCCGCAGUUUGAUGUCGAAAAUUUCCUGAACAAUCUGCAAAAUUUGUUCUGCUCAUCAAAUGAUAUUGCCAAUUCUUAUAAGAAUCCCUGUCGUGCCCCACUUCCUCCGAAGAAGGCAAUGAGCAGGUGCAAUCAUGGGUAUUUCAGUGACCUGUUGAAGAAAAUUCCACCAUCAAGAUUAGAUGUCAUUAAGAAUUAUGGUCGCUCUUUUAUUCUUGAUUUUGAGUGCAAUUCUGUUCCAAGAGGGUUUGCACAAUGGAUAGCAGGGAAAGUAAAUCCACCUACUGGUGACAUAGUUCUUGAUAACAAAGUCAUUCUAAUGAGCCCCGAAUCAUUUCAUCUUCUGCUUGGUCUUCCAUUAGGUGGCACAUCAGUUUUAUUUGACAGCGAGGUGACAAAAGCAGCCUUCCUCAAUAUUAUUGGUGAACCUACACUUCCUUCUAUCAAGUGGUUUGGCUUGAGAAUGCUCAAGCCUGAUAUAUCUGACAUUGAUUUUCUGAGAUUUUCUGGAUUUUGGGUUACGCCGAGUGCCUCCUGGAAUUCCAAGAUUAAAGGCCUGGAAAAAUUCGUUUGUCAAAGAGUUUGCAAAUUUGGAUUGCAAAGGUCCAAGGGAAUAUGGCCUACGCCCUAUUCUUCUCAUGAAUCUGUGAAGUUUAGAUGUGCGCUUGAUAAAACUGUUGGUGGUUUACUACCUUCCUCGGUGAAAGACCAGUUAUCUUUGAUAGCAAGGCGUUUUCGUGGAACUGCUGAUGAAAAGUCUAUUAAAGGAGCUCAGAAUAUGCUGCUAGAUUCGCUAAAUUGUAUUAUUCUAGCUACCGGUUCAGAUGAUGAGGCAAAUCAAUCUGACAUGAAUUCAAGAAGAAAUACAAGCAAUAGUAUGGCAAGUAGUGAUAAAUCAGUGCUUAGGAGUCAUGGAUGCAAUGAUCAUUCUUCCAAUAUCAAUGUAUCUCCACCUAUUCAACAUUCUCCAAAUGUUACCAAUGCCAAUGUGGAUUUGCAUGAUACUGCAGAUCAGCCAGUACGAACUAAUUCAAAAGUGACUUCUACGCAGACCACACUGGGCAAGGCCAUGAGUCUUAGGAAGAAAUCAUUUUUCCCUGAGAAGCUAAGGUUGAAAUCUACAAUGAAUGGUGAAUGUUUUGAUAUCUCCUCUCAAAAAUCAUUGAACGAUCAAAUCAUGGCAUCAAGUCAAGGUCAUUUUCGACUGCGUGAUGAGAAGUCUGAUGGCACUCCAAGGUCAUGGGCACAUCAAAAUUUUGCGAAUCGCACUGAAUUUUUAGGUGAAACUUAUCAGCCUAUUGUUCCUGUCACUAAGAUUGAUUUAGAUUCUGGUGGACAGUCUAGCCCUGGGAAGUCCCCUGAUGUUGAGAUAUUAUAUGAAGUCAAGAAAGAUGACAGAUUGAACAACUUCAUUCCUACUUCUGAUGUGAUUUAUAAUGACAAAAUCAACAGUCAUUCUGCUAGUAAAUCUGGAAGAGAGCUCAGUAGAUAUGGACCAAAGAGGAUUCUAAACCCUAGCAAAUACAAUGCUUCUCCUUAUGUCAAUCAGAAAUCAUCGAGAUACCAUGUUACAACAAGAAUGAUUCAAUUACAUGAUGCUAUUGUCACUUUGUCUCUUGAUGAAGAUUACAAAUACAAAACACGCAUAGACUAUGGCAAAGUUACAGUGACAUACUUUUCGUUUGGUACUUAUUUUGCAACUAAGGGCCUUGUUGACACGAACAUCUACUUCUGA